AGGGCACCACCAGGAGUGGAGCCUGCGGCUUAAUUUGACUCAACACGGGAAAUCUCACCAGGCCCGGACACCGGAAGGAUUGACAGAUUGAGAGCUCUUUCUUGAUUCGGUGGGUGGUGGUGCAUGGCCGUUCUUAGUUGGUGGAGCGAUUUGUCUGGUUAAUUCCGAUAACGAACGAGACUCUGGCCUACUAACUAGAUGGAGGAUCCCUUCGUGGGUCCUUCACUGCUUCUUAGAGGGACGGGCGGCGUUUAGCCGCACGAGAAUGAGCAAUAACAGGUCUGUGAUGCCCUUAGAUGUUCUGGGCUGCACGCGCGCUACACUGAAGGAAUCAGCAUGUUCUCCCCGCUCUGAAAAGAGUGGGUAACCCGUUGAAACUCCUUCGUGAUGGGGAUUGGAGAUUGUAAUUAUUCUCCAUGAACGAGGAAUUCCCAGUAGGCGCGAGUCAUCAGCUUGCGUCGAUUACGUCCCUGCCCUUUGUACACACCGCCCGUCGCUACUACCGAUCGAGUGAUUUAG
RNAcentral lists this ribosomal RNA (519 nucleotides) under uncultured eukaryote. RNAcentral's name for it is "SSU rRNA". It matches the Rfam family "Eukaryotic small subunit ribosomal RNA", at positions 1161 to 1701 of the family's 1831-position model. The record is from RNAcentral.